UUCCCCACGCCGCCGCCGCCCCACGCCAAAAUCUCCGGUUGAAAAAAGGGACAGAGUGACAGAGAAAGGGAUAGAGACCAUGAGCUCCUCAUCCCCGUCGGUGAAGCCCUGGACCUAGAUGACGUGGAAUCAGCCUUGCCGUCCGUCGCCUGCCCUCCGCCUUGUUCCAUCCACUACCACCACCAUCCAAGCUCCUGCGCCGAGAUUGUAGCACGGUUUAAUGAAGUUGUGAAAAAAUUGUUAUUGGAAGGAGCUUUGGAGACUUUUAGACGAUAUUUAGUUAGAGAAGAAGGCAUUAUACUUUAAUUUUUCCAGGUAGUCAAAGUACCCGGUAGCUUUGAGAUACCAGUGGUUGCACAAAAGCUUGGAAAGUCAGGAAACUUCCAUUCAAUAUGCAUUGGAGUUGUGGUAACUUCUUUCUCCUUCAAUUUAAAUUUUACUGUGACUAUAUAUAGCCUAUCCUCAAUCAUAUCUGUCAUUUUCUAGAGCACUUUUUCUAUGCCAGAUAUCAGUCCUUUGAUUCUAAGAUCUACUUCCAAAUGCUUCUGAUUAUUGAGUCCACAAUUAAUUCCCUGUCAAAAAAAGAAAAAAAAAGCUUUAUUCGAGUUACAAAUCUCCGUCAGAGAUAUGGGUUCAUUGAAUUUUGAAGUGGGGAACAUGCUGAUUAUGCCAUGAAGGUACUGAACAUUAUAAAACUUUAUGGAAAGCUGAUACGUGUGAACAAGGUAGCAUUAGGCCUAUUGAUGCUUCAACAACUUGAAUGAGUGAAUACAAUUGGAUUCUAUAAAUUAUGAAAAGUUCAUGGAGUUAUGUAAACAAUUGUAUUCUUUGUUAUCUAUGUAAAUAAUUUAUGUA
Molecule: long non-coding RNA, 855 nt
Organism: Asparagus officinalis (garden asparagus)
Lineage: Eukaryota; Viridiplantae; Streptophyta; Magnoliopsida; Asparagales; Asparagaceae
Exons: 5
Source: RefSeq, a predicted model, not a curated record